Molecule: long non-coding RNA, 2195 nt
Organism: Pipistrellus kuhlii (Kuhl's pipistrelle)
Lineage: Eukaryota; Metazoa; Chordata; Mammalia; Chiroptera; Vespertilionidae
Exons: 2
Source: RefSeq, a predicted model, not a curated record
GAGCGGAGCCAGGGAGAGAAAGGGAGAGAAAAGUUUCCCCGCAGUCUUCAUUGGCAGACUUCUCCGGGAGCUGCUUCCCUGGCCCGCGGAGCUCACCCCCAAUGAAGGAAGGCGGGAGGUCCCCUUUCUUCAGACCCCAAAGAAUCCAGUUUUACAAGACCAGAAAUGCCAUGGCCAAGUCCUGGCAGAAAGAGAGGCUGAAAUGGAGGACGGCACCUUCCAUAUAAGCUCCUUGGGUCCCGAGUCAGCACCAACUUGGUAGAAAAAGCAACCAUGAAGCCAGAGAGAGAGCCGCAGGAGGCGAGAGAGCGCCAGACCAGCCGGAGAGGAACCUCGGGGAGAAAUGCAGAGAAAGGAAACGGCAGAAGGUCCCUGAAGAAACGCGGCCGAGGGCAAGAGAGGCACUCACAGACAGAGGUUUACAUAUUUUUAUUUAAAGGACUUUUUAAACAUGGAGGGCUUGAGGAAGAAAAGGGAAAAUUCAGGGAAGGAGUGGGGAGCGAGAAUUAUCCAAGCCACAGCAAGAACGCCCCAGAAGGGAAGAAUGGCGCUCGCUCGGCAUGGAGCAGCUUCGUGGGUCAGGGCUGUCCUACAGACGGCUGGGCUGGGUCCCCGAGCCCCCACUCCCACCCUCUCCAGGCCACCAGGGCUUCCUGGCUCUCCUUAUCAUCUUCAUCUUUAUGACGAAGCUUGUUAACAAGACCAGCAAGCUGGCCGAGCAAAUCUAUCUCAGCCACUCGGGCUCAGCCAAGCAGCAUCCGGUGGGGUGGGGAGGGAGGGGGGGGGGGACUGGCAAGGCACUAAUUAAUUGAUUCCUUUGGACAGUAAAAUAUGGCCGCGUCUACACAGAACCCAUGGACUCAUAAACAAUAUCUCUGCUGGGUGUGAGCACACUGCUUCUCCAAGAAUUUUCCAUAGGCAUGUGUCAUGCAGUCCUGGAUCUUUAGCUGCUAAAGAAAGACCCACAUGGGACUAAUUUUUAGGGGGCCACAACAGAGUUAGCUCAGUGCCAGGAAAUGCUUUAAGUUACUACUGCCUCUCAAAAAGCAUUGAGAGUGGGUUUUGUUGGGGGGAAAAAAAGCUGGGAUUAUGGGAUAUAAUUUCCCUGCUGUCUUUGUAGACUCCACCAAGGUUAAGGUUGGGAACCGGAGCUGAGGCAGGCGCUGGACAGGCCAGAACCAGACCCUGGGCAGCUGGGAAGGAGUGGGAUUGCCCUGGGAUUUGACAAGGGCAUAGAAGAAGAGGUUCAGUGUUUGCUUCAUGAUGCUCCCUAGACUUAGAUGAAAAGAAUUUUAAAAUUUAAAUGGAAAUAACUUCAUUUUCAGGAGCCCAGCACAUACCUGGAACUGCCUGUUAGCUCAACCUGCCUGUUACAUACUUCUCUGGUUGCUGCAUUUUCUCUUCCCCCUUUCCUACCUGGCAGCCCAGAGGAACUUUAUAAUAUGUUUAUAUUAGGUCCAGGAGAACACGUCCUGAGGCACAGGGGAUAACCUAAUUACAUAAUGCUAAUUCCAUACACCAGUGAUUAUGCAGCCAGACCCUGUGCAAACAGGGCUUAGCACUCUAAAUAUAGACCCUGACUUCAGACAAGAGAGGCAACAGGGAGUCAGGGCGAGGAGACCACUUAUAUAAAUAAUGCAUGUAGAUAUCGAAGGGUUUUUCAAGUACAGCAAAGAGGCUAACCCAUGGAGAUGGUCAUUGCCAACGCCUGAUCUUCCUCCCACUACUGUUUUAAAGAUUGCCUGAGAAGUGUAUAUUAUAAAUACGAUGUGUGAACCCAAAGAAUGCUUUUCAACUUAUAUUUGGUACACACCAUGUAUGCAAACAUAAUUUACAGAAUAUAUUUUUUUUCAUACACUGGGUAGAUAUGCACUUUGUGUGUCUAUAAUAAUAGGAUGUAUUUUAAUGCAGUUUUAUGUGGAUAUAUUACUAUCUGGAUGUAUUUUCUGGGCACUGAUUUUCUAUGCUCUAUGUAGUGAAAUAGAUGCAGGACUGUAAUUCCCUUUGUAGAAUAUGUGGAAGCGUGCUGUUUGUAAAUUAAUUUUACGUGUGGUGGAUGUACAUGCUUUAUGUAAUCUUUUUCUGGGAGAUUGCUUUAACCAUACAAUAGCUGGAAUUGCCUCUGUAUGUAUAUUUUCUAGAGAAAUGUAUUUUCCAUUCCCAGAAUGUAUAUGUAAUAUAGAUUGUAAUCUAUG